AAUUCGAUUAGAGUUUGAUCAUGGCUCAUAACGUACGCUGGCGGCACGCCUAACACAUGCAAGUCGAACGAAGUAGCAAUACUUAGUGGCAGACGGGUGAGUAACAUGUAGGUAUCUGCCCUUUGGCCUGGAAUAACACGAGGAAACUUGUGCUAAUACCGGAUAAGUCUUUACAGAGAAAGCUUUAUGCACCAUUGGAUGAGCCUGCACUUGAUUAGUUUGUUGGUGGGGUAAUGGCCUACCAAGACUGUGAUCAAUAGCUGAUUUGAGAGGAUGAUCAGCCACAUUGGGACUGAGACACGGCCCAAACUCCUACGGGAGACAGCAGUGGGGAAUCUUGCACAAUGGAGGAAACUCUGAUGCAGCGAUGCCGCGUGAGUGAAGAAGGCCCUUGGGUUGUAAAGCUCUUUCGUCGGGGAAGAAAAUGACUGUACCCGAAUAAGAAGGUCCGGCUAACUUCGUGCCAGCAGCCGCGGUAAUACGAAGGGACCUAGCGUAGUUCGGAAUUACUGGGCUUAAAGAGUUCGUAGGUGGUUGAAAAAGUUGGUGGUGAAAUCCCAGAGCUUAACUCUGGAACUGCCAUCAAAACUUUUCAGCUAGAGUAUGAUAGAGGAAAGCAGAAUUUCUAGUGUAGAGGUGAAAUUCGUAGAUAUUAGAAAGAAUACCAAUUGCGAAGGCAGCUUUCUGGAUCAUUACUGACACUGAGGAACGAAAGCAUGGGUAGCGAAGAGGAUUAGAUACCCUCGUAGUCCAUGCCGUAAACGAUGUGUGUUAGACGUUGGAAAUUUAUUUUCAGUGUCGCAGCGAAAGCGAUAAACACACCGCCUGGGGAGUACGACCGCAAGGUUAAAACUCAAAUGAAUUGACGGGGACCCGCACAAGUAGUGGAGCAUGUGGUUUAAUUCGAAGAUACGCGCAGAACCUUACCAACACUUGACAUGUUCGUCGCGACUUUAAGAGAUUAAAGUUUUCGGUUCGGCCGGACGAAACACAGGUGCUGCAUGGCUGUCGUCAGCUCGUGUCGUGAGAUGUUGGGUUAAGUCCCGCAACGAGCGCAACCCUCACUUUUAGUUGCCAUCAUUAAGUUGGGCACUCUGAAAGAACUGCCAGUGAUAAGCUGGAGGAAGGUGGGGAUGACGUCAAGUCCUCAUGGCCCUUACGUGUUGGGCUACACACGUGCUACAAUGGUAUCUACAACAGGAAGCAAGACGGCGACGUUAAGCAAAUCCUUAAAAGAUACCUCAGUUCGGAUUGCACUCUGCAACUCGAGUGCAUGAAGCUGGAAUUACUAGUAAUCGUGGAUCAGCGUGCCACGGUGAAUGCGUUCCCGG
RNAcentral lists this ribosomal RNA (1331 nucleotides) under uncultured bacterium. Its description in RNAcentral is "bacterial SSU rRNA". It matches the Rfam family "Bacterial small subunit ribosomal RNA", at positions 1 to 1377 of the family's 1533-position model. The record is from RNAcentral.